This 174-nucleotide ribosomal RNA is filed under the name uncultured soil bacterium. Its description in RNAcentral is "partial 16S ribosomal RNA". It matches the Rfam family "Bacterial small subunit ribosomal RNA", at positions 26 to 209 of the family's 1533-position model. The record is from RNAcentral.
AGAUUGAACGCUGGCGGCAUGCUUUACACAUGCAUGUCGAGCGGCAGCGCGGGGGCAACCCUGGCGGCGAGCGGCGAACGGGUGAGGAACACAUCGGAACGUGCCCCGGAGUGGGGGAUAACGCCGCGAAAGCGGCGCUAAUACCGCAUAUGCUCUGAGGAGGAAAGCGGGGGA